AGUGGGGAAUAUUGGACAAUGGGGGCAACCCUGAUCCAGCAAUGCCGCGUGUGUGAAGAAGGCCUUCGGGUUGUAAAGCACUUUCAAUAGGGAGGAAAAGCUGUGCGUUAAUAGCGUACAGCCGUGACGUUACCUAUAGAAGAAGCACCGGCUAACUCCGUGCCAGCAGCCGCGGUAAUACGGAGGGUGCAAGCGUUAAUCGGAAUUACUGGGCGUAAAGCGCGCGUAGGCGGUUUGUUAAGUCAGAUGUGAAAUCCCCGGGCUCAACCUGGGAAUGGCAUUUGAGACUGGCAGGCUAGAAUGUGGUAGAGGUGAGUGGAAUUCCAGGUGUAGCGGUGAAAUGCGUAGAGAUCUGGAGGAACAUCAGUGGCGAAGGCGACUCACUGGGCCAUUAUUGACGCUGAGGUGCGAAAGCGUGGGUAGCAAACAGGAUUAGAUACCCUGGUAGUCCACGCCCUAAACGAUGUCAACUAGGUGUAUGGAGAAUUUAUUCUUUGUGUAUCGAAGCUAACGCGAUAAGUUGACCGCCUGGGGAGUACGGUCGCAAGACUA
RNAcentral lists this ribosomal RNA (552 nucleotides) under uncultured bacterium. RNAcentral describes it as "bacterial SSU rRNA". It matches the Rfam family "Bacterial small subunit ribosomal RNA", at positions 353 to 896 of the family's 1533-position model. The record is from RNAcentral.